RNA transcript from Nerophis ophidion (straightnose pipefish), 5544 nucleotides. It is a transcript of the gene named PPARGC1 and ESRR induced regulator, muscle 1, with no coding region annotated. Lineage: Eukaryota; Metazoa; Chordata; Actinopteri; Syngnathiformes; Syngnathidae. The transcript is spliced from 7 exons. The record is from RefSeq and is a predicted model, not a curated record.
UGAAGAGACAACAACACAGGAGGCUUCAGCCGGGGACUGCGUGGGUUCCCUCCGGGUACUCCGGCUUCCUCCUACCUCCAAAGACAUGCACCUGGGGAUAGGUUGAUUGGCAACACUAAAUUGCAAUGAGGGAAGCAAAUGAUGUGUCAAGAUGGACGACUUGGAUCACAGCAUGAACAUUGCAGAGAAAGACUGGUUCAACUUCUACCAGGACAGCGAGGGGUGUUGUCUGCCUCAACCUCCGCUCGCCCAAUUCGAGGGCGUCUCAUUGUCGGCCUACCACAAAGAUUCUCCGCAGAGUUUCCAAGAAGCUUCUGUGGCCUGCAACACUGGAGAAGAGAACUGUGAGGGUGCUGCAGGAGAUACAGCUGAAGAUGAGAAGGUCCUAAUAUGUGAUGACUCAGCAAUCACUCCCCACAAAAAAGAGGUGACAGUAGAAGACAUCUCAGAGGAGACCAAAAAGUGCAUCGUCACCCCACUGCAGGCUGUAGAGACAGACGUGGCUAGAUCGCUGGUAACAUACGUGAGAUGCAAAGAUCCUAGCAGAGUUCCUCCGAGACAGGAGAGGGAGCGUUGGUUUGUAACGGUCAAUGACGGUCCGGUGUCUCGCCGGAUCCGUGGAGCUCCAGUGCAAAAAAAAACAAAGACAAAAACAGCUCACAAUGAGCAAAACAAGUGCAGAAUCAAGAAGGAACCUGAAAAAACACCUGAAAUUAAAACAGAUAACAACAUGAACACGCUGCCAAGUGAAAACACAAGUGAGACGAAGGAGACACAAACACUUUUUGAUAUUAAUGAACAAAAACAGAGAAAAGGAAGCCUUCUGGAACUUACAGAACUGACUGAUCAUGGUAUGCAAAACAACAAAGAAGGAACCUUCCUAAAACUUAGAGAAGGAACGCUGCAUGAUGAUCCCAGCAAGCACAAAAUAACUCUGGAAACCUUGCAACAAAACAACAGCAAAGGAACCCUGCAUGAUGAUGACCUAAUCCAUAAGAACAGAGAAGAAACAUUGCACCCAAAUGAUGUAUUGCAAAUAAACAGUGAAGGAACCCCGGAUGAAGAUAUUACAAUGCAAAGGAACAUAGAAGGAACCCUGCAUGAAGAUGAUUUAUUGCAAAGGAACAUAGAAGGAACCCUACAUGAAGAUGAUAUAAUUCAAAGGAAUGUAAAAGGAACCCUGCAUGACGACAGUGUAAUGCAAAAGAGCAUAGAAAGAUCCCUGCAUGAAGAUGAUAUAAUGCAAAUAAACAAUGAAGGAACACUGCAUGAAGUUGAUAUAAUGCAAAGGAAUGUAGAAGGAACCCUACAUGUUGACAAUAUAAUGCAAAAGAACAUGGAAAGAACCCUCCAUGAAGAUGAUAUAAUGCAAAGGAACAUGGAAAGAACCCUCCAUGAAGAUGAUAUAAUGCAAAUGAACAUAGAAGGAACCCUGCAUGAAUAUGAUAUAAUGCAAAGGAACAUAGAAGGAACCCUGCAUGAAUAUGAUAUAAUGCAAAGGAACAUAGAAGGAAACAUGUAUGAUGACAAUAUAAUGCAGAGAAACAUAGAAGAAGGAACACUGCAUGAACAUGAUAGAAUGCAAAGGAACAUAGAAGGAACCUUGCAUGAAGAUGAUAUAUUGCAUAUAAACAAUGAAGGAACUCUGGAUGAAGAUAAUAUAAUGCAAAGGAACAUUGAAAGAACCCUGCAUGAAGAUGAUAUAACGCAGAGGAACAUAGAAGGAACCCUGCAUGAACAUGACAUAAUGCAAAGGAACAUAGGAGGAACCCUGCAAAAAUAUGUUAUAUUGCAAAUAAACAAUGAUGGAAACCUGCAUGAAGAUAAGAUCAUGCAAAAGAACAUUGGAAGAACCUUGCAUGAAGAUGAUUUAAUGCAAAAGAACAUAGAAGGAACCCUGCAUGAAGAUGAUAUAACACAGAGGAACAUAGAAGGAACCAUGUAUGAAGUUUAUAUAACGCAGAGGAAGAUAGAAGGAAACCUGCAUGAAGAUGAUAUAAUGCAAAGGAACGUAGAAGGAACCCUGCAAAAUGACACUAUAAUGCAAAAGAACAUAGAAAGAUCACUGCAUGAAGAUGAUACAAUGCAAAGGAUCGGAGAAGGAACCCUGCAAGAUGACACUAUAAUGCAAAACAAUAUUAAAAGAACCCUGCAUGAAGAUGAUAUAAUGCAGAGGAACAUAGAAGGAACCCUGCAUGAAGAUUAUAUAACGCAGAGGAAGAUCGAAGGAACCCUGCAUGAAGAUGAUGUAAUGCAGAGGAACAUUGAAGGAACCCAGCAUGAACAUGAUAUAAUGCAAAGGAAGAUCGAUAAAACCUUGCAUGAAAGCUUUCAUUGGGAAAGGGCGGACUCUAAUGAUUUUUCAGACAGUGUUGAGUUCUUGUCUCUUCAAAGUUCUGGUUCUGAAAGCUAUCUUUCUGCUGCUGAAUCAGUGGAUCAGGGUCUCCCUGAGGAUUCCUUUAAAAACCAACAAAUGGUUUGCUUAUCAUCAUCAUCAUCAUCAUGCAGCUGUCAGCCAAAUGAGGUCUGUAGUUCUGAAAACCUGCAUGGCAGAGGAGCAGCCAUUAGUUGUGGUGACCAGGUUUGUGUUGGAUCCACUGCUCCAGGUGAGAGCUUCAGCAGCAGCAGCAGGGAACCUGAGCUUUCAGUGUGCUGUGGUUCUCCAGGUACUCAACCCCUUCCUGAAGUUAUCAUCACCCAGGUGGCAGACAGCCCUGAAGCUUACGCCCGAGCUGCAGGCCACAAGCAAAGCGUCUACGCCAUCUCUGCCUUCUGGGAGGAAAUGGAAAAACUAACCAUCAACGACAUCUUACAUCUGAGGACGACAAGAAGUCCACCUCUCAGCGAAACCUCUGACGUACCGACACAAACCAGUUCUCUCGUGGACCCUGAAGAACAUAAUUUGACCCACGGAGGCCUUACUGAUCUGUCCGAUGCUAGCGACUCGGACUACUUCACGCAGGCCAGCGACUCCAAAGCGGAUCGCUCAAGCUGGGAUUUUUCUGUGUGUGAUUUUGAAGAAGAAUAUUGGCAAUUUUUGGGCACCAGCAGGAACACCAGUCCAGAUCUGAGCUGUAAGACCCUAGAGGAUGAGGAGGAGAUGAGGAGUGAGGACUUAGCAGGACGAAAAGGGCCGCAGAGACGGAUGACAAAAACCAAAAGUGUGCAAAACGUACAAGCUCUGAAAACUGAGGACUUAUCUAUGGAGGCUUUUCUACACAAUGAUGCCAAGUCUGAGACGGUUUCAGGAGACAAACUAGGAUCCAUGAGUACAGUUCUUCUUCACGGUGACACUCUAGAACCUCUCACAAGGGGAACCAUGCAUUGGGAUCCCGAAGACACCUUUUUGGAACACAGUGACCUUGACAUCCUAUUCCUACUCCGUGAGUCCCACAAGUGGAAACCCAUUCCAAUCUUUUCCUGCUCCCAUCCUACCGUCAGAGAACUCACCCUUCCUGAGUGGAGUGGUCCCUUCUUAAGCACCGACGCCAUUCCACCGGCCCGAGUCUUGUCGCACGCUCUCCUCCGCCCUGGUGGACCGAUCCCCUUCCAUGACAAAGGCAGCAUCUGGUGCAGGAGGUCUGGACAAAGAAAGCAAGGAAGCGUCCUCAUGUCCACGUUGGAAGGAGUUUCCGCUCCCGCAUGUGAGGAGCAGAGAGUUCUGGGAACAAUCCAAACGCCAGUGCGACUCUUUCAGCAGUCCGACGUGUGUUUGGUCUGCAUCGCCUUCGCCUCCUGGGUACUGACGUCCUCUGAUCCAGAUUCUGCGGACGCUUGGAAGACAGCUCUGCUUGCAAACGUGAGUGCCCUUUCGGCGAUCCAGUUCCUGCGGCAAAGAAAGUAAAGACCAGAAGACCAUUUUCUUUCAGAGUUAAAGUCCCAACGAUAGUCACACACACACUAGGUGUGGUGAAAUCAUCCUCUGCAUUUGACCCAUUCCCAUGUUAACCUCCUGGGAGGUGAGGGGAGCAGUGAGGUGCAGUGGUGGCCGCGCUUGGGAAUAAUUUUGGUGAUUUAACCCCCAAUUCCAACCCUUGAUGCUGAGUGCCAAGCAGGGAGGCAAUGGGUCAUAUUUUUAUUGUUUUUGGUAUGACUCGGCCGACCUUCCGAGGCCACUGAGCUGGUUCAAUGGGGUGUUUGCGGCCCAACGAUAGACCCCGGUCUUUUGGAAAAUGGUACUGUCCAUUUCUUCUGAUCAUCCAUGAGAUGGUUCUACACCUUCAUUGGAGUCCAGUUGUGUUUAAUUCUAAUGAUUGGACUUGAUUAAGGAAGCCACACACCUGUCUAUAUAAGACCUUACAGCUCACAGUGCAUGUCAGAGCAGAUGAGAAUCAUGAGGUCGAAGGAACUGCCUGAAGAGCUCAGAGACAGAAUUGUGGCAAGGCACAGAUCUGGCCAUGGAUACAAAAAGAAAAUUCUGCUGCACUUAAAGUUCCCAAGAGCACAGUGGCCUCCAUAAUCCUUAAACAGAAGACGUAUGGGAUGACAAGAACUCUUCCAAGAGCUGGCCGUCCAACCAAACUGAGCAAUCGGGGGAGAAGAGCCUUGGUGAGAGAGGUAAAGAAGAGCCCAAUGAUCACAGUGGCUGAACUCCAGAGAUGCAGUGAGGAGAUGGGAGAAAGUUCAAGAAAGUCAACCAUCACUGCAGCCCUCCACCAGUCAGGGCUUUAUGGCAGAGUGGCCCGACGGAAGCCUCUCCUCAGAGUAAGACACAUGAAAGCCCGCAUAGAAUUAGCCAAAAAACACAUGAAGGACUCCCAGACUAUGAUAAAUAAGAUUCUCUGGUCUGAUGAGACAAAGAUAGAACUUUUUGGCCUUAAUUCUAAGCGGUAUGUGUGGAGAAAACCAGGCACCGCUCAUCACCUGCCCAACACCAUGCCUACAGUCAAGUGUGGUGGUGGGAGCAUCAUGCUGUGGGGGUGUUUUGCAGCUGCAGGGACAGGACGACUGCUUGCAAUUGAAGGGAAGAUGAAUGCUGCCAAGUACAGAGAUAUCCUGGACGAAAACCUUUUCCAGAGUGCUAUGGACCUCAGACUGGGCCGACGGUUCACCUUCCAACAAGACAAUGACCCUAAGCACACAGCUAAAAUGACGAAGGAGUGGCUUCGGAACAACUCUGUGACUGUUCUUGAAUGGCCUGUGAGUAUUCUUCUUCCUCCAAACACGACGAGUUGAGUUUAUACCAAAAUGGAUACAUGGAUGAUACAGCAGAGGAUUGGGAGAAUGCCAUGUGGUCAGAUGAAACCAAAAUAGAACUUUUUGGUAUAAACUCAACUCGUCGUGUUUGGAGGAAGACGAAUACUGAGUUGCAUCCCAAGAACACCAGACCUACUGUGAAGCAUGGGGGUGGAAACAUCAUGCUUUGGGACUGUUUUUCUGCUAAGGGGACAGGACGAUUGAUCCGUGUUAAGGAAAGAAUGAAUGGGGCCAUGUAUUGUGAGAUUUUGAGCCAAAACCUCCUUCCAGCAGUGAGAGCUUUGAAUGGUUGACCAAAGACUUAUUUUCCACCAUAAUUUACAAAUAAAUUCUUUGAAAUUUCUACAA